This 2004-nucleotide ribosomal RNA is filed under the name human gut metagenome. RNAcentral describes it as "bacterial LSU rRNA". It matches the Rfam family "Bacterial large subunit ribosomal RNA", at positions 263 to 2296 of the family's 2925-position model. The record is from RNAcentral.
AAGAGCCUAAACCGGAGCGCGUGCGUUCCGGGGUUAUGGACUGCAAAAGUGAGUUGAAAGCUAGAAGAAAGGUUUUGGGAAAGCCUGCCAGAGAGAGUGAAAGCCUCGUAUUCGAAAGCGGAAGACAGCGGCAGAAUCCGGAGUACCACGAGACACGAGAAACCUUGUGGGAAAUCGGGGGGACCACCCCCCAAGGCUAAAUACUACUUAGUGACCGAUAGCGCAUAGUACUGUGAAGGAAAGGUGAAAAGAACCCCGGGAGGGGAGUGAAAGAGAACCUGAAACCCUGUGUCUACAAGCUGUGGAAGCACCCUAUGAGUGCAACCGCGUACUUUUUGUAGAACGGUCCGGCGAGUUAUGUGGUGUGGCAAGGUUAAGCACAGAAAGUGUGGAGCCGAAGGGAAACCAAGUCUUAACUGGGCGAAUAAGUCACAUAACAUAGACCCGAAACCGGGUGAUCUAUCCAUGUCCAGGUUGAAGCUGCUGUAAAAGGUGGUGGAGGACCGAACGCACAUCCGUUGAAAAGGGUGGCGAUGAGGUGUGGAUAGGGGAGAAAUUCCAAUCGAACUCGGAGAUAGCUGGUUCUCCUCGAAAUAGUUUUAGGACUAGCCUGUCAGGAGUCUGCUGGAGGUAGAGCACUGAAUUUUUGCGGGGGCGUCAAAGCCUACCAAUGAAUAUCAAACUCCGAAUGCCAGCCAGAUGCUCUGAUGGAGUCAGACUGCACGAGAUAAGUUGGGUAGUCAAAAGGGAAACAGCCCAGACCACCAGCUAAGGUCCCAAAGUGCGUGUUAAGUGGAAAAGGAUGUGGGAAUUCGAAGACAACUAGGAUGUUGGCUCAGAAGCAGCCAUUCAUUCAAAGAGUGCGUAACAGCUCACUAGUCGAGAGUUCCUGCGCCGAAAAUGUCCGGGGCUAAAACACGACACCGAAGCUGUGGAAUCAUGCUUGCAUGAUUGGUAGAGGAGCAUUCGCUGAGAGACGAAGCUGUACCGGAAGGAGCAGUGGAUUUCAGUGAAGAGAGAAUGCCGGAAUGAGUAGCGAGAGAUAGGUGAGAAUCCUAUCGGCCGAAUAUCUAAGGUUUCCAGAGUAAAGCUGAUCUGCUCUGGGUAAGUCGGGGCCUAAGGCGAGGUCGAAAGACGUAGUCGAUGGAUAACAGGUUGAGAUUCCUGUACUUCAUGAUAUCAGAAAUGUGGGGACACAGAAGCGAAGCACAAGCCGGGAAUGGAAAUACCGGUGCAAGCUAAGGAGCAGUAUGAGAGGCAAAUCCCUCAUAUAAUGCGAAGACGUGAAGCGUAGCGAAAUAAGGGUAGCGAAGUGUGUAGAGAGGCUGUCAGGAAAAGCCGCUAUUGUGUAUCAUGAACCCGUACCGUAAACCGACACAGGUGGAUGAGGAGAGAAUCCUAAGGCCGACGGAAGAAGCAUUGUUAAGGAAUUCGGCAAAAUGACCCCGUAACUUCGGGAGAAGGGGUGCCUGCGCAAGCAGGUCGCAGAGAAUUGGCCCAAGCAACUGUUUAGCAAAAACACAGGUUUAUGCGAAACCGAAAGGUGAAGUAUAUGAGCUGACGCCUGCCCGGUGCUGGAAGGUUAAGGGGAGUGCUUAGACUUUAGUCGAAGGUGCGAACUUAAGCCCCAGUAAACGGCGGCCGUAACUAUAACGGUCCUAAGGUAGCGAAAUUCCUUGUCGGGUAAGUUCCGACCCGCACGAAAGGCGUAAUGAUUUGGGCGCUGUCUCGACAAUGCAUCCGGUGAAAUUGAAGUACCAGUGAAGAUGCUGGUUACCCGCGCCAGGACGGAAAGACCCCAUGGAGCUUUACUCUAGUUUGAUGCUGGGAUUCGAUACUGCAUGUACAGGAUAGGCGGGAGACUGAGAAGUAGUGACGUCAGUUGCUACAGAGUCGCUGUUGGGAUACCGCCCCUGCAGUAUUGGGUUUCUAACCUGCGGCCGUAAGCCGGUCGGGGGACAACGUCAGGCGGGGAGUUUGACUGGGGCGGUCGCCUCCGAAAGG